GUAAGGAAUAUUGGUCAAUGGGCGGAAGCCUGAACCAGCCAUGCCGCGUGCAGGACGACGGCCCUACGGGUUGUAAACUGCUUUUGCCCGGGAAUAACCCCCCGCUCUUGAGCGGGGCUGAACGUACCGGGAGAAUAAGGAUCGGCUAACUCCGUGCCAGCAGCCGCGGUAAUACGGAGGAUCCGAGCGUUAUCCGGAUUUAUUGGGUUUAAAGGGUGCGUAGGCGGCCCGUUAAGUCCGGGGUGAAAUACGGCAGCUCAGCUGUCGCAGUGCCCUUGAUACUGACGGGCUUGAAUAUCGGUGAAGGCGGCGGAAUGAGACAAGUAGCGGUGAAAUGCAUAGAUAUGUCUCAGAACCCCGAUUGCGAAGGCAGCUGCCUAACCGGCGAUUGACGCUGAUGCACGAAAGCGUGGGGAUCGAACAGGAUUAGAAACCCCAGUAGUCC
RNAcentral lists this ribosomal RNA (445 nucleotides) under uncultured bacterium. RNAcentral describes it as "partial 16S ribosomal RNA". It matches the Rfam family "Bacterial small subunit ribosomal RNA", at positions 354 to 796 of the family's 1533-position model. The record is from RNAcentral.